CCUACGGGGGGCAGCAGUGAGGAAUAUUGGUCAAUGGACGAGAGUCUGAACCAGCCAAGUAGCGUGAAGGAUGACUGCCCUAUGGGUUGUAAACUUCUUUUAUAAAGGAAUAAAAUGAUGCACGUGUGCCUUUUUGUAUGUACUUUAUGAAUAAGGAUCGGCUAACUCCGUGCCAGCAGCCGCGGUAAUACGGAGGAUCCGAGCGUUAUCCGGAUUUAUUGGGUUUAAAGGGAGCGUAGGUGGGUUGUUAAGUCAGUUGUGAAAGUUUGCGGCUCAACCGUAAAAUUGCAAUUGAUACUGGCAGUCUUGAGUACAGUAGAGGUAGGCGGAAUUCGUGGUGUAGCGGUGAAAUGCUUAGAUAUCACGAAGAACCCCGAUGGCGAAGGCAGCUUACUGGACUGCGACUGACACUGAGGCUCGAAAGUGUGGGUAGCAAACAGGAUUAGAUACCCGAGUAGUC
Molecule: ribosomal RNA, 460 nt
Filed under: uncultured bacterium
Lineage: Bacteria
Description: partial 16S ribosomal RNA
Rfam family: Bacterial small subunit ribosomal RNA
Source: RNAcentral